AGUGUGAGUGAGCUGCUGCUAAGAGAGUUACUGAAUAAAACAACCUUUCACCUGCCUACGGCCCCCGCAGUGUUCUUUCAGCUAUCUGCUCGUCCAUCCACUCCCUUCGGACCUCAGCAUGAGCUGGAACCUGACUCCAAACAGGACAGGGAGUAGUACUGUUUGUUACCCAGCAACUCUUCAACCCCCCUUUGGAAGUAGCAACUUAGCUGUACCUGACUGCCACUUUAAAACUACUAUUUUUGACAUUAGGAAUUGAAAAUAAUUGUGAAUGCACCCAUUCUUGGAAAACCAGGCAAGAGGUUUCCCUGGACCCUUGAAGCAUGAGAAGAGAUCUAUGAAAGGCUAAAUUACUGUUGCUAGCAAAGGAAGGCUCACAUGGGUGAAGCUGUGAUCAGAAGCAUAAGAUCCCUGGGCUGCACUAUGAAUGUAUAAUGUAUUUAUUAAUGUGGCUCAUGGUUAAAAACAACCACCAAACAAAACCUGACCAUGGAGUAACCAGCCAGAUGCUCAUCUGUUCACCCCUCUCCAAACCUGCGUCACGGCUUGUACAUGAAACAGAACCUAGGAAUCUCAACUAGAUCCAUUGGUAUCACUCUGUCACCACCCAGGCUGGAAUGCAGUAGUGCAAUCAGGGGCCACUGCAGCCUCGACCUCCUCAAGUGAUCUUCCCACCUCAGCUUCCUGAGUAGCUGGGACCACGGCUGGGAUCACAUAACACCACACUCAACUAAUUAAAAAAAAAUUUUUUUUGUUUUUUAUAGUUAAGACUUUAAUCUUCAAGGGACUGAUUUUAACUAUGAUAUACAUUCCGAAUCAAUGCUAGAAUCGGCCUGUACAGUCUCUCAAAGAAAAUUCUGUGGAGAUUUCAAUUGGAAAUGCACUGAAUUUAUAUAUGAAUUUGGGUAGAAUUGAUACUCUUAUGAUAUUGACUUUCCUAUCCAUCUCUCUCUCAAGAUUUUUUCGUGAAUUUCAGUAAAUCUUUUGAUAAACAUAUUCCUAUGUGUAGUCUAUGACUGCCAUUGCUAUUACGAAUGGUAUCUUUUCUUUUUACAUUAUAUUUUCUAAGUAUUCCUUGUUGGUGUGAAAUAAACUUUUCAUUCUUUUGUUUGGAGAUGGAGUCUCACUCCUGUUGCCCAGGCUAGAGGGCAAUGGUGCACUCUUGGCUCACUGCAGCCUUGACCUCCUGAGUUCAAGUGAUCCUCCCGCCUCAGCCUCCCAAGUAGUUGGGACUAUAGGCAUGCACCACCACGACUGCCUAAUUUUUUGUAUUUUUAGUAGAGCUGGGGUUUUGCCAUGUUGGCCAGGCUGGUCUCGAACUCCUGGGUUCAAGUGAUCUGCCCACCUCGGUCUCCCAAAGAGCUGGGAUUACAGGCGUGAGCCACUGCUCUAGCCUGAACUUUUCUAUAGUAAUCUCGUGUUUGGCAACAUUGCUAAAUUCUUAUUGUUUCUAUUAUUUUAUGUAUAGAUUCGUUUUCUUCACAAACACAUACACAAUUGACAACAAUGCUUUUCCUUUUUCCAAUAAAUAAAUGUUCUUUAUUUACUGUAGUACUGCAAAACCUAAGAAAGACUUCUAAUAAUACUAACUGGUGAUUGAGGGCAUUAACAUCUUCUUCCACAUCUUUUUAAAAAAUGCUCCCAACAUUUCUCCAUUAACAUGAUCUCUGCUUGCAAAGGCUUUUUUUUUUUAAGCUGUCCUUUCUUGGAUUAGUAAACUUCCACUGUAUAAUAGUUUGCUAAGUAUUUUCUAACAAUAAAUUCAUGUUAAAUUUC
Molecule: long non-coding RNA, 1776 nt
Organism: Gorilla gorilla gorilla (western lowland gorilla)
Lineage: Eukaryota; Metazoa; Chordata; Mammalia; Primates; Hominidae
Exons: 6
Source: RefSeq, a predicted model, not a curated record